This is a long non-coding RNA of Gadus morhua (Atlantic cod), 1861 nucleotides long. RefSeq lists it as uncharacterized. Lineage: Eukaryota; Metazoa; Chordata; Actinopteri; Gadiformes; Gadidae. The record is from RefSeq and is a predicted model, not a curated record. The transcript has 3 exons.
GUCAACGCCUGCCCUCUGAUGGACAAAACGAGAACUGCGGGCAGUAUAUUUUUUGUGGCCAAAUUACAUACGAGGAGAACUUCGGUUAAGCUCUAAAAACAUAUAACUACACAUUAAAGCCGAAAAUACAACAGCAACGCCGCUGUUUUUAAAGUAUUGAUUUUAUUCAUACAAUAAAGUUAGAAAAUAAAAACAUUCCCGAACGCCAAUAAUCACAGUCAGUCAACCCCUGCCGUGUGGUGGACAAAAAAUGGACUGCACGCAGUAUAUAUAUAUUUUUUUUGUGGCCAGGAACGCAAAUAGAUUCGAGGUGAAUUUCGGCUGGGCUCUAUUAGCAGAAAACUGUAUUCAAACGCGUAUGUUUAAAUAAAACUAGUAUGGCAACAUUACACAUAUACUGCAACGUUAUGCAGUAUAUUUUUGGUGGCGAGGAAGGCGAUUUCAUACGAGUUGAACUUCGGUUAAGAUCUAUAAACACAACUGUAUCUAUUACUAGAUUUUUGGGCUCAUCUUCAAAUAAAGAUAUAAACUCUAAAUCCAAAUUUGCAUUCAAGUUGCUAAUCCGAGAUUGCUGUUCAGCAAUUUUACAGGCUGAAAUAAAACAGCAACACCACUACUGGUAUGAUUUUGAGUUUAUUCAUAGAAUAAAGUUACAAAUUAAAAACAUUCCCACGCACACACAGUUCAGGUCAGGUGACCCUCCAUCCUCAGUUGUCAGGUCGGAGGUCACUUGCUGGUGGGCUUGUAUGGGUCGGACCAGACCUUGACCCAUACAGCGCCACAGGGAAACAACAAAGACAAACGGUAAACGGACUGCAUUUAUACCGCGCCUUUCUAACUAGUGGCCAAUCAGUGCUUUACAAUAUAGGCUAACAUUCACCCAUUCACACAGUGAUGGCAGAGUCAUCCACGCAGGGCGACAGUCAGCUCCUCAGGAGCAGUCAGGGUGAGGCGUCUCGCCCAGGGACACCUCCACACUCCUGAGCCACAUACCGCCCGAGAGAUGAGAUUAGAACCAACUCACGCAGCAGUGCAGAACGUUGCCGGAUCAAUUUGCACGAUUGACCACUGGGUGCUCUUAGCCCAAAGCCAUUUCAGCCUAGAUAUAUGAUGGAUAGAUCAGUCACACACAACACUAAGGGGGUGCUGAAAUGGGCCUCGAGAUAAGAAGGUCAGGUUAUGCAAAGGACUACAAUGACGAGCAUCAAAUCAGACUACAGAGGCAAAAGUACAAGAAAGCAAGACAUCGGCGAUCACAACUGUCUCAAAAACACACCCUCUAAGCACUAUAACAACGCGUGUGAAUGUUGUCACCAAUUACAUUUUUCCAUCCCAGUAUGCUUGAUACCUUGCCAAGGAGGCACCGUUUGACUUCAGUUUUGUAAGUAGGCAUCACAUUAAAUGAAAAAGAGCUGACGAUUGAAAAGAUACGUUUAAAAUAAGAAUUGGAUUUUUGAAGGUUACAAUAUCGAAAAAUUCAUACUUGUAUACAUAUUUUAUCAUUGUCAAUUCUUGGAAUAUCCCUUUACUUUAGAAAGACAUGCCUGUCCUCAGAAAAUGGUGGUGCACAGUACUGCUUGAGAACUUCCAUCUGGAUGGGCACAGCAGAAGGUUCCCACACUUCAUGAGAAGCCAAACAAAUGGCGGCUGAACUACUUCCACCAGUCUUCAGACUGAAGCGAAAAAGAGAAUGAGUUGAAGCUGAUGGCAGUCAGCAUGAAGAAGCUAUAACUUUAGGCUUCUGUAGAUUAUUUGUUAAAUAAAUUGUGAGGAAACUUUGGUGUGGUUAUUCGUCAAUGUAUAUUUAUAUCAAAUUAUGAUGGUAUACUUUACAAAAAAUAAAUUUGAUUCAAUUAGACAU